GACAGAGGGUGCAAACGUUGUUCGGAUUUACUGGGCGUAAAGCGCACGUAGGCGGCUUCGCAAGUCGGAUGUGAAAUCCCUCGGCUCAACCGAGGACGUGCAUCCGAAACUGCGGAGCUUGAGUACUGAAGAGGAUCGCGGAAUUCCCGGUGUAGAGGUGAAAUUCGUAGAUAUCGGGAGGAACACCAGUGGCGAAGGCGGCGAUCUGGGCAGUUACUGACGCUGAGGUGCGAAAGCGUGGGGAGCAAACAGG
Molecule: ribosomal RNA, 253 nt
Filed under: uncultured bacterium
Lineage: Bacteria
Description: partial 16S ribosomal RNA
Rfam family: Bacterial small subunit ribosomal RNA
Source: RNAcentral